RNAcentral lists this transfer RNA (85 nucleotides) under Felis catus (domestic cat). It matches the Rfam family "tRNA". From Rfam's summary of the family: Transfer RNA (tRNA) molecules are approximately 80 nucleotides in length. Their secondary structure includes four short double-helical elements and three loops (D, anti-codon, and T loops). The record is from Rfam by way of RNAcentral. RNAcentral also lists the same sequence under 2 other names. Lineage: Eukaryota; Metazoa; Chordata; Mammalia; Carnivora; Felidae.
ACCUGGAUGGCUCAGUUGGUUAAGCGUCUGACUUCAGCUCAGGUCAUGAUCUCAUGGUUUGUGGGUUCGAGCCCCACGUCGGGCU